Molecule: ribosomal RNA, 243 nt
Filed under: uncultured bacterium
Lineage: Bacteria
Description: partial 16S ribosomal RNA
Rfam family: Bacterial small subunit ribosomal RNA
Source: RNAcentral
GCAAGCGUUAUCCGCAUUCACUGGGUUUAAAGGGUGCUUAGGCGGGUUGGUAAGUCAGUGGUGAAAUCUUCAAGCUUAACUUGGAAACUGCCGUUGAUACUAUCAAUCUUGAAUAUUGUGGAGGUAAGCGGAAUAUGUCAUGUAGCGGUGAAAUGCUUAGAUAUGACAUAGAACACCGAUAGCGAAGGCAGCUUGCUACACAGUAAUUGACGCUGAGGCACGAAAGCGUGGGGAUCAAACAGG